CCUACGGGGUGCAGCAGUAGGGAAUCUUUCACAAUGGGCGAAAGCCUGAUGGAGCAACGCCGCGUGCAGGAUGAAGGCCUUCGGGUUGUAAACUGCUUUUAUAAGCGAGAAAUAUGAUGGUAACUUAUGAAUAAGGAUCGGCUAACUACGUGCCAGCAGCCGCGGUCAUACGUAGGAUCCGAGCAUUAUCCGGAGUGACUGGGUGUAAAGAGUUGCGUAGGUGGCAUAAUAAGUAGCUAGUGAAAUCUGGUGGCUCAACCAUUCAGACUAUUAGCUAAACUGUUAAGCUCGAGACCGUUAGGGGUAACUGGAAGUUCUAGUGUAGGAGUGAAAUCCGUAGAUAUUAGAAGGAACACCAAUAGCGUAGGCAGGUUGCUGGGACGGUUCUGACACUAAGGCACGAAAGCGUAGGGAGCAAACAGGAUUAGAUACCCUGGUAGUC
This 442-nucleotide ribosomal RNA is filed under the name uncultured bacterium. RNAcentral describes it as "partial 16S ribosomal RNA". It matches the Rfam family "Bacterial small subunit ribosomal RNA", at positions 338 to 795 of the family's 1533-position model. The record is from RNAcentral.